AGAGUUUGAUCCUGGCUCAGAUUGAACGCUGGCGGCAGGCCUAACACAUGCAAGUCGAGCGGAAACGAGUUAUCUGAACCUUCGGGGAACGAUAACGGCGUCGAGCGGCGGACGGGUGAGUAAUGCCUAGGAAAUUGCCCUGAUGUGGGGGAUAACCAUUGGAAACGAUGGCUAAUACCGCAUGAUGCCUACGGGCCAAAGAGGGGGACCUUCGGGCCUCUCGCGUCAGGAUAUGCCUAGGUGGGAUUAGCUAGUUGGUGAGGUAAGGGCUCACCAAGGCGACGAUCCCUAGCUGGUCUGAGAGGAUGAUCAGCCACACUGGAACUGAGACACGGUCCAGACUCCUACGGGAGGCAGCAGUGGGGAAUAUCGCACAAUGGGCGCAAGCCUGAUGCAGCCAUGCCGCGUGUGUGAAGAAGGCCCUCGGGUUGUAAAGCACUUUCAGUCGUGAGGAAGGUAGUGUAGUUAAUAGCUGCAUUAUUUGACGUUAGCGACAGAAGAAGCACCGGCUAACUCCGUGCCAGCAGCCGCGGUAAUACGGAGGGUGCGAGCGUUAAUCGGAAUUACUGGGCGUAAAGCGCAUGCAGGUGGUUUGUUAAGUCAGAUGUGAAAGCCCGGGGCUCAACCUCGGAAUAGCAUUUGAAACUGGCAGACUAGAGUACUGUAGAGGGGGGUAGAAUUUCAGGUGUAGCGGUGAAAUGCGUAGAGAUCUGAAGGAAUACCGGUGGCGAAGGCGGCCCCCUGGACAGAUACUGACACUCAGAUGCGAAAGCGUGGGGAGCAAACAGGAUUAGAUACCCUGGUAGUCCACGCCGUAAACGAUGUCUACUUGGAGGUUGUGGCCUUGAGCCGUGGCUUUCGGAGCUAACGCGUUAAGUAGACCGCCUGGGGAGUACGGUCGCAAGAUUAAAACUCAAAUGAAUUGACGGGGGCCCGCACAAGCGGUGGAGCAUGUGGUUUAAUUCGAUGCAACGCGAAGAACCUUACCUACUCUUGACAUCCAGAGAACUUUCCAGAGAUGGAUUGGUGCCUUCGGGAACUCUGAGACAGGUGCUGCAUGGCUGUCGUCAGCUCGUGUUGUGAAAUGUUGGGUUAAGUCCCGCAACGAGCGCAACCCUUAUCCUUGUUUGCCAGCGAGUAAUGUCGGGAACUCCAGGGAGACUGCCGGUGAUAAACCGGAGGAAGGUGGGGACGACGUCAAGUCAUCAUGGCCCUUACGAGUAGGGCUACACACGUGCUACAAUGGCGCAUACAGAGGGCGGCCAACUUGCGAAAGUGAGCGAAUCCCAAAAAGUGCGUCGUAGUCCGGAUUGGAGUCUGCAACUCGACUCCAUGAAGUCGGAAUCGCUAGUAAUCGUGGAUCAGAAUGCCACGGUGAAUACGUUCCCGGGCCUUGUACACACCGCCCGUCACACCAUGGGAGUGGGCUGCAAAAGAAGUAGGUAGUUUAACCUUCGGGGGGACGCUUACCACUUUGUGGUUCAUGACUGGGGUGAAGUCGUAACAAGGUAGCC
This 1514-nucleotide ribosomal RNA is filed under the name Vibrio alginolyticus. RNAcentral describes it as "bacterial SSU rRNA". It matches the Rfam family "Bacterial small subunit ribosomal RNA". Lineage: Bacteria; Pseudomonadati; Pseudomonadota; Gammaproteobacteria; Vibrionales; Vibrionaceae. The record is from RNAcentral.